This 3740-nucleotide long non-coding RNA is filed under the name Brachypodium distachyon (stiff brome). RNAcentral's name for it is "long non-coding RNA (BDIS_LNC002531)". The record is from RNAcentral. Lineage: Eukaryota; Viridiplantae; Streptophyta; Magnoliopsida; Poales; Poaceae.
UUGCCUGUGCCUCCCCUGCUGCUAUAAGAAGUCCCCCCCGGGCAACGGGGAGAGCCCAGCAGCGAUAGAUUCUUCCUCCUCGUCACUCCUCCAGAAGCCCACCUACCCUCCACCACCUCCUCCACCCUCCAGCAGCAAGGUCCGUCUCCGUCCAUCUCCUGUUCAUAUCCCCGUACCAUCCACAAACUGCUACAUCCAUCUCUUCUUUUUCCCCUCUUUAUUGCCCCCCCUCUUUGGAUUUGAUUCAGUUCGUAGCUGCCUUCCAACUUUUUUUUUUGAUGUAAAGCGUAUUAUCCUCUCGAAUCUACUUUUGAUUGCCUUUUGUGCAUGCUCUUCGUUGGCAGAGUUCUCUCUUCUCGAAAUUCAUUCUCGUCUUGCAUAUUAAGGGUGUUUUCUCUCGCUGUGUGUGGCGGCGACUAAUUUAAUUUGGCGAUCCUUUUCCCUUGCAGAUGGACGCCGCCGUGGAGCGCCUCAAGACCGGGUUCGAGAAGUUCAAGACCGAGGUCUACGAGUAAGUCCCCCACUAUAAUCCUGCCGCCAAGAGAACUCGAUCCUGUGUUUCAUUCGCCAUGUUUCCUUUUCGAUUUGGGAAUUGGGAAUUUCUUAGGUUCCUCGACUGAUCCUCUGUCCGUUUCCUCUUGGCAGCAAGAAGCCGGAUGUCUUCGAGCCGCUCAAGGCCGGCCAGGCCCCCAAGGUAUGCAACUGUACUAAUGUUGUCUCUACUAGCGACUCUGUUUUUCUUUCUCCUUCUGCGAUUAGUAGCUUGUAGACUUCGUCGCGAAGCUUAGCCAAAACCGUGUUGUACUGUAUAGAUUCAGGAGUGGUCUGCGAAACGACCCUUGGCCCACAGAAUUCUAUCUGUGUUAUUACUGGCACUUCUCCAGGUAGCGAACUGUCCGUGUUUUAGUACUAGCGCAGCGGAAAACCUGCCAUUCGGCCGGCGUACAAUCCGAGGUAUACCCACGGGGUGUCCGUAGCAGUUUCUGAUCACGGUCAAAGUAGACAAAAGGAAACCGCUGCCAGGCUGCCUGCCUGGCCGUCAAACGUGACAGCUUGUCGCCAUUGCCCGUCACUUGAUGUACUAGGUUAUGUCCUAAACUAACAUAGGCGCAGCGUAAUCUUGAGCAGAAACAAGUACACCUGUGGAUUUCCUUUGCGAUGGUUAACCCCCACCUGUCAUGCACCGCUAGGAAACAAACAGGGCCAUGCGUCAUUGUGCAUUGGCCAUUUCCAUGAUGUGAUUUGGCUUAUUGAGAGGUCACCCUCCGUAUCACUUUGUGGUCUUGUGGACGAUGAGCAUUAGAAUAUGGUUCUUUCUCCCUUUUCUGUUACAGCAGGACCGGCUAGGAUAACUUGACGUUAAGAAUCUUGCAAGUACAAGCGUUUUUCGUUUUUCUUUUGGGAUUCUCGAUUGGCGUGCAGUGCCCUGGUACUCGCCCGGUUGUUGAGGUUGCCCUAAAAAAUUGGACCAACAAACUUAGCCGUGUUGAAUUUCAAAAAGUCCCAGCCGGCCGUCUCUCCUGGCACUAUCACAUUUGGACACUUUUGUUAUAAAACAAAACAUUUGGACACGAGCAUCUUUUGAUGAUGACCAUUUCGGAAGUCUCAUCAUCUUGGCACCGGCCGCGUCAGGCCCCACACACAAGAACCGUGAACCGCAAGUCUUGCUCAACUCGUUUAUUGUACUGGCGGAGAAGAAAUAGUCCUCCACCUCAAUGGGUACAGCUGUAACUUAGCAUUCCAUGGCCAUGGCCCUGCGCACAGAAUUAAUCUCACGCAGGCCCUACGGUGGAGCUCUCAAUCUGAGGACCACUAGUGACAAAUGUGUCUACAACCUUUAAUCAAAGCUGGGCGCAUAUAGUAUGUUUGGGCAUUUGGCCAAAGCCUUUCUCAUGGCACUACUACCAUUAGCCUUUUGGAGAUUGGUGAUACUGUAGGACCAUGUUGGUGACUAUAGGAUUAUAUGCUGCUUAAUCUCAGGCCCAUUGGCUUAUGCAAGUACGUAAAGCUUGCCGUGCGAGAGACCGGUUAAAGCUGAAGGCUACGUCUACGUUACAACAGAGGCAUCUGUCAUCUCCUUUGGCUUAUCGUUUCUCUUUAACGAAUCAUGGCAUAUCCGCAAGUGAUGAUCCAUGUCUAUCAUCAUCAGUAUCGCCCAAACACAAGUCCUAUAUUGUCCGUCUUGUCAACCUCCCUGUUGGUGUCGUGAUUUGAAACAGCAACUUGCAGAUUGUGGGGCCUGUCGUCAUAACUACAAUAAGGUCUGUUAUUUGGUGUCCUGUCACAAAGUCAUAAUCUAGUGUUUUAUUUCGGCAAUUUGGUUUUGGAUCAUUGCUCUUAGCGGGGAGUGAGUGGAAUAUCUAUAUUCCGAUGCCAAGGAACCUUCCCGAGCACCACUUGCCUCCUGGCUUUGUGUUCUCCACCCAGUUCAUUGUUGUUAAUUUUGUUCUGCCCGAGCCCUUGUCUUUUUCCUCUGGAUAAAAAGCUGUCCGGGACAGAGAAGGUACAGGUCAAAAGUGGCAGCCUUUUAACGCAAAGCGGUGUCAGGAAUCGCCGUGUACUCCACCUAUCACACUAUCAGCACAUCUGCUUAUUUUUUUACUACACCCGGAUACCACGGGCCGAAAGUUUCGGCCAGCCUGAACAGCGUAUCUGCUUAUCAAUAACAAGUGUGAAAAGUUCUUUAUUAGGGAGAGCAGUGGAGUUUUAGAAACUUUUUUUUCUGAUUGGUUGGCUGGCUGUGUGCAGUACAUGGUGUUCGCCUGCGCCGACUCACGUGUGUGCCCGUCGGUGACCCUGGGCCUGGAGCCCGGUGAGGCCUUCACCGUCCGCAACAUCGCCAACAUGGUCCCGUCCUACUGCAAGGUAUGCCACCCGCAUAUAUAUAGCUUUACCGUUUUGGCCGGUCGCCUAGGUGCAUUAUUGACGUAUUUUGUUUCGGCUUUUGUCGACUGCAGAACAAGUACGCCGGUGUUGGGUCGGCCAUCGAGUACGCCGUGUGUGCCCUCAAGGUCAACCCUCUCUCCAGUGCUGUCACUUCAGAUAUGCUAGUACAUUAGUACUACUACUGUGAUAAUAAUGCAUUAUUGCACCAGUGAACAUAUCAUAUUGGACCCAGAUCUGGUGCCAAAUGGAGUUAGAAAAAUAAUGUACGUCCUAACUGUUGUAGCAUGCAUUGACUUUGGCAGGUUGAGGUCAUCGUGGUGAUUGGCCACAGCCGCUGCGGUGGAAUCAAGGCACUCCUCUCGCUCAAGGAUGGUGCAGAUGACAGCUUGUAAGUAUAGUAAAACACCUCAAAUCCCCACAGGGCGGUGAAUUACAGUAGUACAAAGCUUCUGUUGCUCUGUUAAUUCUGACUCGAGCUCUCCGGCCGUCUGUUUGAUCGUUCAGCCACUUCGUCGAGGACUGGGUCAGGAUCGGGUUCCCGGCCAAGAAGAAGGUGCAGACCGAGUGCGCCUCCAUGCCUUUCGAUGACCAAUGCGCCGUCUUGGAAAAGGUUCGUACGACCACAUGAUACUUUGUGAUGACUUGGCCACUGCUGGAAUACUCGAACUAUAUAUUCUGCUGACUUGCUGUGCUGACGAAGAAAAUAUUCUGGGAUUUCUACAGGAGGCCGUGAACGUGUCCCUCGAGAACCUCAAGACCUACCCGUUCGUCAAGGAAGGCGUCGCCAACGGAACCCUCAAGCUCGUGGGCGGCCACUACGACUUCGUCUCCGGCAAGUUCGACACAUGGGAGCU